UCGAGGGGAAACGACAUCGAAAGCUUGCUUUUGAUGGGCGUCGACCGGCGCACGGGUGAGUAACGCGUAUCCAACCUGCCCACCACUUGGGGAUAACCUUGCGAAAGUAAGACUAAUACCCAAUGACGUCUCUAGAAGACAUCUGAAAGAGAUUAAAGAUUUAUCGGUGAUGGAUGGGGAUGCGUUCCAUUAGGUUGUUGGUGAGGUAACGGCUCACCAAGCCUUCGAUGGAUAGGGGUUCUGAGAGGAAGGUCCCCACAUUGGAACUGAGACACGGUCCAAACUCC
This 287-nucleotide ribosomal RNA is filed under the name uncultured Bacteroidales bacterium. RNAcentral's name for it is "partial 16S ribosomal RNA". It matches the Rfam family "Bacterial small subunit ribosomal RNA", at positions 62 to 339 of the family's 1533-position model. Lineage: Bacteria; Pseudomonadati; Bacteroidota; Bacteroidia; Bacteroidales. The record is from RNAcentral.